GCUCUCAUAGCUCAAUGGAUCGAGUACCACGUUGCGGACGUGAGGAUGAUGGUUCGAUUCCAUCUGAGAGCA
This 72-nucleotide transfer RNA is filed under the name Candidatus Amesiibacteriota bacterium. RNAcentral's name for it is "Candidatus Amesbacteria bacterium tRNA-Arg". It matches the Rfam family "tRNA". From Rfam's summary of the family: Transfer RNA (tRNA) molecules are approximately 80 nucleotides in length. Their secondary structure includes four short double-helical elements and three loops (D, anti-codon, and T loops). Further hydrogen bonds mediate the characteristic L-shaped molecular structure. tRNAs have two regions of fundamental functional importance: the anti-codon, which is responsible for specific mRNA codon recognition, and the 3' end, to which the tRNAs corresponding amino acid is attached (by aminoacyl-tRNA synthetases). tRNAs cope with the degeneracy of the genetic code in two manners: having more than one tRNA (with a specific anti-codon) for a particular amino acid; and 'wobble' base-pairing, i.e. permitting non-standard base-pairing at the 3rd anti-codon position. Lineage: Bacteria; Candidatus Amesiibacteriota. The record is from RNAcentral. RNAcentral also lists the same sequence under 1 other name.